This 426-nucleotide long non-coding RNA is filed under the name Gossypium barbadense (sea-island cotton). RNAcentral's name for it is "long non-coding RNA (GBAR_LNC012144)". The record is from RNAcentral. Lineage: Eukaryota; Viridiplantae; Streptophyta; Magnoliopsida; Malvales; Malvaceae.
UCGUCAGCUUGGACGCGACCGACUGGGAUGUGAAUGCCAAUGUAGCUGAAACCUUCUUGCUUUUGCGGAUGGACACCGAGGUAGUCUCUCCUUUCCCAUUGCUUUUGAACCAAACCUUCAUCAGAUGCUCUCUCCAACUCUUUCUGAGGCAUUCUUUUGGCUACCUCUGAUCUGAACACUUCAAUCCCCUGCAUUUCGAAAUAAAAUUUUUGAGCCUACGAUUUCUAAAAAACAAUCGAAUAUGAACACGAACACGAAUACAAAAACGAACUCACCAGUUCAUCAAUCAGCCACAUCAUUCUAGUCUUUUGCCUAUUGCCCCGGUAUCCAAGAUCCCUAUAGGCUUCUAACACAGCUUUGCACAAUGGGAUCACAUCAUCAGCUGAGACCCAAGCAUCAAGAGGAAUGGCCUCAUCACAUCUCUUG